RNAcentral lists this ribosomal RNA (35 nucleotides) under Blumeria graminis. Its description in RNAcentral is "partial 18S ribosomal RNA". The record is from RNAcentral. Lineage: Eukaryota; Fungi; Ascomycota; Leotiomycetes; Helotiales; Erysiphaceae.
GACCUUCCGUAGGUGAACCUGCGGAAGGAUCAUUA